This 1464-nucleotide unclassified non-coding RNA is filed under the name Leishmania donovani. Its description in RNAcentral is "gene:unknown". Lineage: Eukaryota; Euglenozoa; Kinetoplastea; Trypanosomatida; Trypanosomatidae. The record is from RNAcentral.
CGAGAGAGAUGAACCAUGAACCAAAAACGAAGGGACGCACACAUGCGCAAGUCCUCUCUUCACUGAACCCUCCCCCCACCCCACCUACACAUACACAAACACAUGGGCUCCGAGCAGGGCGCAGGAGCGAAGUCGGCGUGCCGUAAUUAUUUCAGUUUUUCUACAAGUCUGCAAGACGCCAGCACUCGUGAAAGGUUCUCCUCUCUUCCGUAAUAUCAACGGUGUCUAUGUCCAUGGAUGUCCCGCCCACCUCCUUGGUUUCUCUUUCCGUUGAGGAUGGACACGCCAAAUAGGCAAGCGGGCAUGAUUGAAAGAGAAGAGGGGAGUGCCAAGGCGGGAGGGAGGGAAGGGGAGGGGGCGGCAUACGAAAAAAAAAGAAAGUGCACCGCUGACGUCGUGCAUACAGACACAAUGGUGAAGGAGUCGCAGCAUCCGCAUCCAUGUUGUCGUCUCUUAAAGAGCGAUAUCAGAAGAGAGCAUGCACGCGCACACGCACAGACACAGACACACACACACACACAGAAAGAACUCAAACGUAAGAACAGCAAAAACAACAACCCACACACACACACACACACACCAAUCGAAAAACCUCUUCCGAACAAGCAAGCGGAACACGCCGCGAGGAGCUCAAAACGCACCCUCACCCCCCCCCCCCCCCGGGGGGGGGAGGGAUCGGGCAGGCAAGGCGAGACUCAGCAUGCCUCGACAGAGGAAAAACUGUGACGGAUCGAAAAGCGCAGUGACUGGAAGCUGGUGUGUGUGUGCGUGUGUGUGUCUGUGUGUGUCUGUGUCGCGCGAAAGGGCAGAUGGGGAGGAGAGAAGCGUCUAAAGGACGAAGAGCGGGAAGGGGAGGCGGAGGGAGGAGCGCAUGUGGCGCACGCGCCUCAUUCAUCGCCCUUUGCUUGCGACGCCGCUGCCGAGGGAACCUGGCGUAGCGCAGCCUCUCUCUCUCUGAAUCUCCUUCUCCAAGUGCCUCACCGCUACUUUUCUCCCCUGACUCUUCUCGUGGUGCGCCUCGACCCUCCUCCAGCGGUGCCUGCGCCAACAGCCGUCUUUGAGCCUUCGCCACGGCUUCCCCUUUGGUGUGCGAAAAAAAAGGCGUGAGAGGCGCGGUCUCGCGUAGCCCUUGCCAGGCAGUACACAAACGCAUCCCUGCGUCUGGGCUGCUGUGUGCGCACGCCCAAAGGCCGCCGACAAGCGCAGGCGACUUGCAGCCGGCACGACCAGAUGGCUGGAACUAUCCUUGCAUGCAACGCUCCACGGACUUCAGCCUUCGAGCUCAAACGUUCAUGGCGCUUUCACCUCUGUCGCUGCUCGCAAUAUUUUCUCUCCGUUUUUGCACUUGAAACACUCUGUUGCGCGUUCUGGUGAGCGAUUUUCACAUGACCCUUCUACGCCGUCCUGCUCCGCGCGUGGCGGCACUUUUUUUUUUCUCCGUAAUUGUCAUUCACUGCCAUGCAG